GUGCCAGCAGCCGCGGUAAUACGUAGGGUGCGAGCGUUAAUCGGAAUUACUGGGCGUAAAGCGUGCGCAGGCGGUUCUAUAAGACAGAUGUGAAAUCCCCGGGCUCAACCUGGGAAUGGCAUUUGUGACUGUAGAGCUAGAGUACGGUAGAGGGGGAUGGAAUUCCGCGUGUAGCAGUGAAAUGCGUAGAUAUGCGGAGGAACACCGAUGGCGAAGGCAAUCCCCUGGACCUGUACUGACGCUCAUGCACGAAAGCGUGGGGAGCAAACAGGAUUAGAUACCCUCGUAGUCC
This 292-nucleotide ribosomal RNA is filed under the name uncultured bacterium. Its description in RNAcentral is "partial 16S ribosomal RNA". It matches the Rfam family "Bacterial small subunit ribosomal RNA", at positions 505 to 796 of the family's 1533-position model. The record is from RNAcentral.